RNAcentral lists this ribosomal RNA (253 nucleotides) under uncultured bacterium. Its description in RNAcentral is "partial 16S ribosomal RNA". It matches the Rfam family "Bacterial small subunit ribosomal RNA", at positions 524 to 776 of the family's 1533-position model. The record is from RNAcentral.
UACAGAGGUCUCAAGCGUUGUUCGGAUUCAUUGGGCGUAAAGCGCGCGUAGGCGGCCCUGUAAGUCCGUUGUGAAAGUCGAAGGCCCAACCUUCGAAAGCCGAUGGAUACUGCAGGGCUAGAGUCCGGAAGAGGCGAGUGGAAUUCCUGGUGUAGCGGUGGAAUGCGCAGAUAUCAGGAGGAACACCGGUGGCGAAGGCGGGUCUCUGGGCCGAUACUGACGCUGAGGAGCGAAAGCGUGGGGAGCGAACAGG